AGCCGCCGCGGGAAUACGAAGGGUGCAAGCGUUAAUCGGAAUUACUGGGCGUAAAGCGUGCGUAGGCGGUUUGUUAAGUCUGUUGUGAAAUCCCCGGGCUCAACCUGGGAAUGGCAGUGGAUACUGGCAAGCUAGAGUGCGUCAGAGGAUGGUGGAAUUCCCGGUGUAGCGGUGAAAUGCGUAGAGAUCGGGAGGAACAUCAGUGGCGAAGGCGGCCAUCUGGGACAACACUGACGCUGAGGCACGAAAGCGUGGGGAGCGAACAGGAUUAGAUACCCGCGUAGUCCCUGUCUCUUAUACA
This 301-nucleotide ribosomal RNA is filed under the name uncultured bacterium. RNAcentral describes it as "partial 16S ribosomal RNA". It matches the Rfam family "Bacterial small subunit ribosomal RNA", at positions 510 to 808 of the family's 1533-position model. The record is from RNAcentral.